Molecule: ribosomal RNA, 465 nt
Filed under: Vreelandella stevensii
Lineage: Bacteria; Pseudomonadati; Pseudomonadota; Gammaproteobacteria; Oceanospirillales; Halomonadaceae
Description: partial 16S ribosomal RNA
Rfam family: Bacterial small subunit ribosomal RNA
Source: RNAcentral
CCUACGGGUGGCGGCAGUGGGGAAUAUUGGACAAUGGGCGAAAGCCUGAUCCAGCCAUGCCGCGUGUGUGAAGAAGGCCUUCGGGUUGUAAAGCACUUUCAGUGGGGAAGAAAGCCUUGGGGCUAAUACCCUCGAGGAAGGACAUCACCCACAGAAGAAGCACCGGCUAACUCCGUGCCAGCAGCCGCGGUAAUACGGAGGGUGCGAGCGUUAAUCGGAAUUACUGGGCGUAAAGCGCGCGUAGGCGGUCUGAUAAGCCGGUUGUGAAAGCCCCGGGCUCAACCUGGGAACGGCAUCCGGAACUGUCAGGCUAGAGUGCAGGAGAGGAAGGUAGAAUUCCCGGUGUAGCGGUGAAAUGCGUAGAGAUCGGGAGGAAUACCAGUGGCGAAGGCGGCCUUCUGGACUGACACUGACGCUGAGGUGCGAAAGCGUGGGUAGCAAACAGGAUUAGAUACCCCAGUAGUC